GUGCCAGCCGCCGCGGUAAUACGGAGGGUGCGAGCGUUGUCCGGAAUCACUGGGCGUAAAGGGCGCGUAGGCGGCCCGGUAAGUAGGGGGUGAAAUCUUGCGGCUUAACCGCAAGGCUGCCUUCUAGACUGCCAGGCUCGAGCACAGUAGAGGCAGGUGGAAUUCCCGGUGUAGCGGUGGAAUGCGUAGAGAUCGGGAAGAACAUCAGUGGCGAAGGCGGCCUGCUGGACUGUAGCUGACGCUGAGGCGCGACAGCGUGGGGAGCAAACAGGAUUAGAUACCCGCGUAGUCC
RNAcentral lists this ribosomal RNA (292 nucleotides) under uncultured bacterium. RNAcentral describes it as "partial 16S ribosomal RNA". It matches the Rfam family "Bacterial small subunit ribosomal RNA", at positions 505 to 796 of the family's 1533-position model. The record is from RNAcentral.